This 1281-nucleotide ribosomal RNA is filed under the name Micrococcus sp. RNAcentral's name for it is "bacterial SSU rRNA". Lineage: Bacteria; Bacillati; Actinomycetota; Actinomycetes; Micrococcales; Micrococcaceae. The record is from RNAcentral.
GAACGAUGAAGCCCAGCUUGCUGGGUGGAUUUAGUUGGCGAACGGGUGAGUAACACGUGAGUAACCUGCCCUUAACUCUGGGAUAAGCCUGGGAAACUGGGUCUAAUACCGGAUAGGAGCGCCUACCGCAUGGUGGGUGUUGGAAAGAUUUAUCGGUUUUGGAUGGACUCGCGGCCUAUCAGCUUGUUGGUGAGGUAAUGGCUCACCAAGGCGACGACGGGUAGCCGGCCUGAGAGGGUGACCGGCCACACUGGGACUGAGACACGGCCCAGACUCCUACGGGAGGCAGCAGUGGGGAAUAUUGCACAAUGGGCGCAAGCCUGAUGCAGCGACGCCGCGUGAGGGAUGACGGCCUUCGGGUUGUAAACCUCUUUCAGUAGGGAAGAAGCGAAAGUGACGGUACCUGCAGAAGAAGCACCGGCUAACUACGUGCCAGCAGCCGCGGUAAUACGUAGGGUGCGAGCGUUAUCCGGAAUUAUUGGGCGUAAAGAGCUCGUAGGCGGUUUGUCGCGUCUGUCGUGAAAGUCCGGGGCUUAACCCCGGAUCUGCGGUGGGUACGGGCAGACUAGAGUGCAGUAGGGGAGACUGGAAUUCCUGGUGUAGCGGUGGAAUGCGCAGAUAUCAGGAGGAACACCGAUGGCGAAGGCAGGUCUCUGGGCUGUAACUGACGCUGAGGAGCGAAAGCAUGGGGAGCGAACAGGAUUAGAUACCCUGGUAGUCCAUGCCGUAAACGUUGGGCACUAGGUGUGGGGACCAUUCCACGGUUUCCGCGCCGCAGCUAACGCAUUAAGUGCCCCGCCUGGGGAGUACGGCCGCAAGGCUAAAACUCAAAGGAAUUGACGGGGGCCCGCACAAGCGGCGGAGCAUGCGGAUUAAUUCGAUGCAACGCGAAGAACCUUACCAAGGCUUGACAUGUUCUCGAUCGCCGUAGAGAUACGGUUUCCCCUUUGGGGCGGGUUCACAGGUGGUGCAUGGUUGUCGUCAGCUCGUGUCGUGAGAUGUUGGGUUAAGUCCCGCAACGAGCGCAACCCUCGUUCCAUGUUGCCAGCACGUAAUGGUGGGGACUCAUGGGAGACUGCCGGGGUCAACUCGGAGGAAGGUGAGGACGACGUCAAAUCAUCAUGCCCCUUAUGUCUUGGGCUUCACGCAUGCUACAAUGGCCGGUACAAUGGGUUGCGAUACUGUGAGGUGGAGCUAAUCCCAAAAAGCCGGUCUCAGUUMGGAUUGGGGUCUGCAACUCGACCCCAUGAAGUCGGAGUCGCUAGUAAUCGCAGAUCAGCA